UUAAGUGAUAAUUGGCCUAGGGAGAUACACCUGUUCUCAUGCCGAACACAGAAGUUAAGCCCUAGAACGCCGGAAGUAGUUGGGGGUUGCCCCCUGUGAGAUAAGGUAGUCGCUUAGC
Molecule: ribosomal RNA, 118 nt
Filed under: Streptococcus agalactiae
Lineage: Bacteria; Bacillati; Bacillota; Bacilli; Lactobacillales; Streptococcaceae
Also listed under: 1 other name
Source: RNAcentral